This 1206-nucleotide ribosomal RNA is filed under the name uncultured prokaryote. RNAcentral describes it as "partial 16S ribosomal RNA". It matches the Rfam family "Bacterial small subunit ribosomal RNA", at positions 161 to 1387 of the family's 1533-position model. The record is from RNAcentral.
CGGUAAUACCCGAUAAUCCCUCUUGGGCAAAGGCUUGCUGCUCGGGGAGCGGGGAACAUCCUAUCAGGUUGUUGGUGAGGUAAUGGCUCACCAAGCCAAAGACGGGUAGCGGGUGUGAGAGCAUGAUCCGCCGCAUCGGGACUGAGACACUGCCCGGACUCCUACGGGAGGCUGCAGUAACGAAUAUUCCGCAAUGGACGAAAGUCUGACGGAGCAAUGCCGCGUGCAGGAUGAAGCCCUUCGGGGUGUAAACUGCUGUCAGGGUUUAGGAACAAUGACCAGACUCAAAGGAAGGGCCGGCUAACUUCGUGCCAGCAGCCGCGGUAAUACGAAGGGCCCGAGCGUUAAUCGGAAUCACUGGGCUUAAAGCGUACGUAGGCGGACAUGUAGGUACUUUGUGAAAUCCCACCGCUCAACGGUGGAACUGCUAGGUAUACCGCAUGUCUUGAGACAGGUAGGGGUCGUCGGAACGAUAGGUGGAGUGGUGAAAUGCGUUGAUAUCUAUCGGAACGCCGAAGGAGAAGUCAGGCGACUGGGCCUGUUCUGACGCUGAGGUACGAAAGCGUGGGUAGCGAACGGGAUUAGAUACCCCGGUAGUCCACGCCGUAAACGAUGUGCACUAGGUUGGGGGAAUUUUGACGCCAUCCGGGCCGAAGGUAAACUGAUUAGUGUGCCGCCUGGGGAGUACGGUCGCAAGGCUAAAACUCAAAGGAAUUGACGGGGGCUCACACAAGCGGUGGAGCAUGUGGCUUAAUUCGAAGCAACGCGAAGAACCUUAUCCUGGGUUUGACAUGUAUGGAUUAGCUUCCAGAAAGCGAAGUAAGUUGCCCUCUUGGUGGAACGUACACAGGUGCUGCAUGGCUGUCGUCAGCUCGUGCUGUGAAGUGUCGGGUUAAGUCCCUUAACGAGCGAAACCCUUGCCGCUAGUUGCUACCAGGUAAUGCUGAGGACUCUAGCUGGGCUGCCGGGCCGGUGUCAAACCGGAGGAAGGUGGGGAUGACGUCAAGUCCUCAUGGCCUUUAUGCCCUGGGCUGCACACGUGCUACAAUGGUGUGGACAGAGCGGCGCAAUACCGUAAGGUGGAGCAAAUCGCACAAACCACACCCCAGUUCGGAUUGAGGUCUGCAACUCGACCUCAUGAAGUUGGAAUCGCUAGUAAUCGCGUAUCAGCUACGACGCGGUGAAUACGUUCCUGAGCCUUGUACA